RNAcentral lists this unclassified non-coding RNA (634 nucleotides) under Carex lonchocarpa. Its description in RNAcentral is "sequence contains 18S rRNA gene, ITS1, 5.8S rRNA gene and ITS2". The stretch from base 254 to 408 matches the Rfam family "5.8S ribosomal RNA". Lineage: Eukaryota; Viridiplantae; Streptophyta; Magnoliopsida; Poales; Cyperaceae. The record is from RNAcentral.
CCGUAGGUGAACCUGCGGAAGGAUCAUUGCCGCUGCCUCUCCAGAAACACGACCGUCGAACACGUGACAGAAUGCCGCCGCGGAGGCGCUCGCCGCCUCCUCGGCCCCACCGGCCUCCUCCCUCUCGCCCCCCGGGCGCGUCGGUCGCUGGUCGGAAUACGGCGCGGGAUGACGCCAAGGAACACGAUAAAGCCGAGGCACCGGCGAGCCGCUCAAGGGCCGCGCCGGCUGCCGAGGCCAACAAAAAAAAUACGACUCUCGGCAACGGAUAUCUCGGCUCUCGCAUCGAUGAAGAACGUAGCGAAAUGCGAUACGUGGUGUGAAUUGCAGAAUCCCGUGAACCAUCGAGUCUUUGAACGCAAGUUGCGCCCGAGGGACCCUCCCGAGGGCACGCCUGCCUCAUGGGCGUUAGAAGCCCAUCCACGCUCGGCUGCCCURUCUGUAUAASGGCAGAGAUGCGGAGACUGGCCCUCCGAGCCGCGAGGCGCGGUGGGCCUAAGUGUGCGGCCGUCGUACGUGGCCGGGAGCGGCGAGUGGUGGGCUACUGCGCACGUCACCCCGAGCCCCGUGYCGACGCGGGGCCUUGUACGACCCCCUAACGAGGAGCACGCGGCCUGCGCUGCGCGGCGCCUUC